GAUGAACGCUGGCGGCGUGCCUAAUUCAUGCAAGUCGAGCGAACAGACGAGGAGCUUGCUCCUCUCACGUUAGCGGCGGACGGGUGAGUAACACGUGGCUAACCUACCUAUAAAACUGGGAUAACUUCGGCAAACCGGAGCUAAAACCGGAUAAUAUAUUGAACCGCAUGGUCCAAUAGUCAUAGCCGGUUUUGCUGUCACUUAUCGAUGGACCCGCGCCGCUUUAACUAGUUGGUAAGGUAACGGCUUACCAACGCAACGAGGCGUAGCCGACCGAGGAGGGGGACAGGGCACACGGGAAGGGGGACUCGGUCCAGACUCCUACGGGAGGCAGCGGCAGGGAAUCGUGAGCAAUGGGCGAAGGCCUGACGGAGCAACGGCGAGUGAGGGAUGAAGGUCUUCGGAUCAUAAAACUCUGUUAGUAGGGACGAACAAAUGUGUAAGUAACUAUGCACGUCUUGACGGUACCUAAGCAGAAAGCCGGGGCUGACUACGUG
RNAcentral lists this ribosomal RNA (497 nucleotides) under uncultured bacterium. RNAcentral describes it as "partial 16S ribosomal RNA". It matches the Rfam family "Bacterial small subunit ribosomal RNA", at positions 28 to 507 of the family's 1533-position model. The record is from RNAcentral.